Peromyscus eremicus (cactus mouse) is the source of this 638-nucleotide long non-coding RNA. RefSeq lists it as uncharacterized. The record is from RefSeq and is a predicted model, not a curated record. Lineage: Eukaryota; Metazoa; Chordata; Mammalia; Rodentia; Cricetidae. The transcript has 3 exons.
AUGGCAAUUUUUUCCAGACUUGUAAACCCACAGGCAUGUGGACUCUGCAGCCAAGUUGAAUUCUGAGUCUGUUGCUGUGAAUGCACCUGAAGAGGCUAUCUCCUUGGUUACUUGGAUCAUGUGCUAUGAGGGCAGAGAAAACCAGAUAGCUGGGAUAACCACUUCCCUUCAAAUAGAGGAGACAGCUGAGUUCCCCAGAGGGGGUAUCUGAAGCACAGGACAAAAUAAUUUGUGGUGUCACCGAGUCACUGGAGAACCAGAGAGCCACCAUCCCACCAAACCUUCCUCACCAAGAUGCAGGUGAAGCAGAAGGUACAGACUGACUAGUCAACUACAGGAAAUGACCAUUGAAAGAAAUUAACAGUGAGAUCGCCUGAUCUUUAUCACAGAAGAGAGCAUGAAGAAUAGGUCCCAUCAUAGAGAAUUUGUUUUUGAAGACAGGAGAAACAUCUUCACAGACUCCGGAGGGUACACACCUGUGGAGUAGACACCAAGGAAAUUCUUAGACUUCUAUUUCAGCAAGCCUCCUGAGAGAGCUCAUGUACGUCCAACUCCCAUCAUCUGAACAGCCUACCUCUGCUGGCCUAGGGUCAGAAUAGCUGUAAGUAAAUUGUUUGCAACUCUGUGGGUUUGGUCCU